GAUGAACGCUAGCGGCAGGCUUAAUACAUGCAAGUCGAGGGGCAGCAUGACUGUAGCAAUACAGUUGAUGGCGACCGGCAAACGGGUGCGGAACACGUACAGAACCUUCCUUCGAGCGGGGAAUAGCCCAGAGAAAUUUGGAUUAAUACCCCAUAGUAUAUUAGAGUGGCAUCACUUUGAUAUUAAAGAUUUAUCACUUGAAGAUGGCUGUGCGGCUGAUUAGGUAGUUGGCGGGGUAACGGCCCACCAAGCCUUCGAUCAGUAACUGGUGUGAGAGCACGACCAGUCACACGGGCACUGAGACACGGGCCCGACUCCUACGGGAGGCAGCAGUAAGGAAUAUUGGUCAAUGGACGAAGUCUGAACAGCCAUGCCGCGUGGAGGAUGAAGGUCCUCUGGAUUGUAAACUUCUUUUAUAUGGGACGAAAAAAGGGUUUUCUAACUCGUCUGACGGUACCAUAUGAAUAAGCACCGGCUAACUCCGUGCCAGCA
Molecule: ribosomal RNA, 492 nt
Filed under: uncultured bacterium
Lineage: Bacteria
Description: bacterial SSU rRNA
Rfam family: Bacterial small subunit ribosomal RNA
Source: RNAcentral